This 427-nucleotide ribosomal RNA is filed under the name uncultured bacterium. RNAcentral describes it as "partial 16S ribosomal RNA". It matches the Rfam family "Bacterial small subunit ribosomal RNA", at positions 355 to 774 of the family's 1533-position model. The record is from RNAcentral.
UGGGGAAUAUUGCACAAUGGGCGCAAGCCUGAUGCAGCCAUGCCGCGUGUAUGAAGAAGGCCUUCGGGUUGUAAAGUACUUUCAGCGGGGAGGAAGGGAGUAAAGUUAAUACCUUUGCUCAUUGACGUUACCCGCAGAAGAAGCACCGGCUAACUCCGUGCCAGCAGCCGCGGUAAUACGGAGGGUGCAAGCGUUAAUCGGAAUUACUGGGCGUAAAGCGCACGCAGGCGGUUUGUUAAGACAGAUGUGAAAUCCCCGGGCUCAACCUGGGAACUGCAUCUGAUACUGGCAAGCUUGAGUCUCGUAGAGGGGGGUAGAAUUCCAGGUGUAGCGGUGAAAUGCGUAGAGAUCUGGAGGAAUACCGGUGGCGAAGGCGGCCCCCUGGACGAAGACUGACGCUCAGGUGCGAAAGCGUGGGGAGCAAACA